AGUGAACGCUGGCGGUAGGCCUAACACAUGCAAGUCGAACGGCAGCACAGUAAGAGCUUGCUCUUACGGGUGGCGAGUGGCGGACGGGGGAGGAAUACAUCGGAAUCUACUUUUUCGUGGGGGAUAACGUAGGGAAACUUACGCUAAUACCGCAUACGACCUACGGGUGAAAGCAGGGGAUCUUCGGACCUUGCGCGAUUGAAUGAGCCGAUGUCGGAUUAGCUAGUUGGCGGGGUAAAGGCCCACCAAGGCGACGAUCCGUAGCUGGUCUGAGAGGAUGAUCAGCCACACUGGAACUGAGACACGGUCCAGACUCCUACGGGAGGCAGCAGUGGGGAAUAUUGGACAAUGGGCGAAAGCCUGAUCCAGCCAUACCGCGUGGGUGAAGAAGGCCUUCGGGUUGUAAAGCCCUUUUGUUGGGAAAGAAAAGCAGCAGGUUAAUACCCCGCUGUUCUGACGGUACCCAAAGAAUAAGCACCGGCUAACUUCGUG
Molecule: ribosomal RNA, 492 nt
Filed under: uncultured bacterium
Lineage: Bacteria
Description: partial 16S ribosomal RNA
Rfam family: Bacterial small subunit ribosomal RNA
Source: RNAcentral